GAUGAACGCUAGCGAUAGGCUUAACACAUGCAAGUCGAGGGGCAGCAUGGUCUUAGCUUGCUAAGGCUGAUGGCGACCGGCGCACGGGUGCGUAACGCGUAUGCAACUUGCCUCACAGAGGGGGAUAACCCGUCGAAAGACGGACUAAUACCGCGUACACUCUAUGUUGGGCAUCCAAUGUAGAGGAAAUGAAAUUCGCUGUGAGAUAGGCAUGCGUCCCAUUAGCUAGUUGGUGAGGUAACGGCUCACCAAGGCGACGAUGGGUAGGGGAACUGAGAGGUUGAACCCCCACACUGGUACUGGGACACGGACCAGACUCCUACGGGAGGCAGCAGUGAGGAAUAUUGGUCAAUGGGCGAGAGCCUGAACCAGCCAAGUCGCGUGAAGGAUGACUGUCUUAUGGAUUGUAAACUUCUUUUAUACGGGAAUAACAAGAGUCACGUGUGGCUCCCUGCAUGUACCGUAUGAAUAAGCAUCGGCUAACUCCGUG
Molecule: ribosomal RNA, 490 nt
Filed under: uncultured bacterium
Lineage: Bacteria
Description: partial 16S ribosomal RNA
Rfam family: Bacterial small subunit ribosomal RNA
Source: RNAcentral